RNAcentral lists this long non-coding RNA (6860 nucleotides) under Olea europaea (common olive). Its description in RNAcentral is "long non-coding RNA (OEUR_LNC005345)". Lineage: Eukaryota; Viridiplantae; Streptophyta; Magnoliopsida; Lamiales; Oleaceae. The record is from RNAcentral.
CGUUUUGUUCUAAAGUCCUGCUUUGGUGGACUACAUCAAGCGUUUAUUGCUAGCGGAAGUGAGGACUCAAAGGUGAUUUCUCUUCACGUGUUGAUCUUUGAAGUUUAUUUUAUUUCCAAAAGCCAUGCAAUACAUCUCCUUUUAUCUUUUUUAACUUUCCAUUUGAUAUGCAUAAGUAGCUCCAGUCAAAAACAUUGAACUGUCUCAUCUAAAGUUGUUAGAGAAUGGACAAGUUUAUCUAAUUAGAGGUUGUCUUCAACAUGCACCGCAUAGCAGACCGGACUCAAUUUUCAUACUAAAUUUGGAGCCUGACCUGUGCAAAACUUUGUAGAUGGGUAGUGCAAGAUUUAAAUUUAGAACCUUUGCUUACCCUUGUGCUGUGUUGAAAAAGCUUAAACUUUUAGAUAAGGUGGUUCAACCAAACAGAAUUCCUAUUUCUCAAACAAUCUCAACAAAGAUGAUUGGUGCCAAAGUGAGAGUCACUUUCAAGUUGAGUUAUACUUUUGUCUUAAUUUGAAGUAAAAAACUACGAUAUCCAAACAUGUUUAGAAACAAAAAAGUUUCUAAGAAUUAAAUUCACCUUUUAAAACUUAGCCAAACAUGCUCUUUUCCACGAGAAAAUUAUACAGUCACCAUUUUGACUUCAAACCACUGGUAUUGCCACAGUUGUUACCUUCCCGGCCAGUCCUCCUUUACUACCAGUCCCCUGCCACUACUAGCCUCUACGUGAGGAAAUGCAUGCAUUAAAGGUUACACACCCUUGUACGCUUGACAUUCAAUGUAGAGGCAAGCAGAGUCAAAUGCCGAGCCUCUACCAGCAAAGGGGGACAGCCAUGCCAAUCCAAGCAGCAUUUCGUAUACAUAUAUCACUCAUGCAUAUGCCACAGUGACACAAAAUUCCAAAAAAUUGAAAAGUAUUGAUCAUAAGAAUAUAUGCUUAACAAUGUUUUCUAGUUAUUUCUCUUUACCCUGUUCUUCUUUGUUGGGGGACAAGGCGAGUAUGUUGAGGAUAGCUUAAGGGCCUUGAAAUAUUUAGUCCACAAAGGUAUAUUUUAAAAAACAAUGGAAACUUGUAUAAGCAAUUCAAUUUAAAAAUAUUUAAAAGGUCCGUGCCUGUUUACAUUUGUAGUGCCUGUUAUUGUUUUAUAGCAUUUACAUAGGAAAUAGGAGUUUCAUGUAUAAUAAGUAUUAUGAGUUGCUGAAUGUUAAUGGAUGAAAAGUCUACGGAUCAGUUGGUCAUAUUAUUUUGCCAUAUUCGUAUCCUUCAUUACAUCAAGGUACCAUAUAAAGAUUGAACUACAAUUGGAAUCUGUAUUCUGUCAAUUCAUUAUUGAAAGCCACACAUCGGAGUGGCAUAUACUGUCCCAGUUCUUGAAAUAAUAAUUCUGCCUAUGGUUCAGCUGGUCCUAUUCAUAUUCACUUAAGUAAAUUAAGCUAUGACAAAAAUUGGCUUCCUACCAUGAUUUUCUAACCUGCAGUAAUUGUGAUUACAUAUAAAUGCCACUAAAAUCAUCUUAAUUGGGUGCUAUCUAGAAUGUUAAUUCUUUAGUUACAAGAACUGGUAGGUGAAUGGUCUCAUGGGAUGGUGUGCAGCAUGGAAAGGAUAGACUCCUAUGGAAUGCUUUAUUGAAAGGAAUAUAGCAACUAGGAUUGUAUAGACUACAUGUAAGUGCCUAUCUGUGUAUGAGAAAAAGAAAGAAAAACAAAGUAUAUUAUCAUAAUGAAAUUUUGUUAUUACACUGUACAUAGUUUACUAUAAUGGAAAAUGUAUUUGAUGAUUAACUUCCCUAUCUUUCCACAAAACGUCAACCUUUAGUAUUAUUUUUUAUGUGCACAGGGUAUUAAAAGAUUCUUCAUGUUAUUUUAACUUUCUUGAAACACCAUUUGUCUUUUUGCUUUGGGAACGCUGGUUGACAUCUUGAUCACAUGAUUGUAUCAACAAUUCUUAGGUCCGGCAAAAACUGUAUUGGUUUGGUAUAUCUUAUUACCUCCUCCAUCAUUCCUGUUUCGUAAGAUUUCCACGAAGGGACCCAUUCCUCCAUGAUUCCACUUGAUUCCUGUCCCCAUUUUCUGUCUUCCUGGUUCAAGGUGUCUAAAUGUUUUAAAUAGAACUCUUGUAUUUAUGGAUUCUAAGAGGAUCUUAUUGGUUUCAUUUGGUAAAAUUAAUGCAAAAUGUUCUUGGAAAGAUACUGAUGGUUUCACCUUCUGUAGGUUUAUAUAUGGCACCGAGUCUCAGGAGAGCUCGUUUUGACGUUGUCUGGACAUUCUGGGGCUGUCAACUGUGUUAGUUGGAAUCCUGCUAAUCCUCACAUGCUGGCUUCCGCAAGUGAUGACCGUACAAUUCGCAUAUGGGGCUUGAAUCGGGUAUGUUUAAAUCACGAUGAUAAGCACAGUAAUGGCACCUAUCACUGCAAUGGUGGAACUUGAAGUUGGGGACGAGAAACACUGUCUAUCAUUGUAUUUCUUAACAAAUUGGUUUAUGUAAAUUUUUUUACUUCAACAUUCAGUUGACAUAUAAUGAACAAGAAUUUGAACAUGCAUUCACCAGGACAAUAAACUGUGUACUUCGUUUCCAUGUUUUCAUCUGCUGACCGAUGACCAAAAAGACUGAUGAUAAAGAUAAAAUAUGGGAAAAGUAAUUGUUGAAUUAUUGAUGCUAUGCCAAAGAGAGAAAAUAGAACACACCUGUUCACUCUACACAAUGGAUUAAAGUACACUGGUGGUGAAAGAACUUCAAUAAAAUUCCACGUUGGUCGAUUGAACUUCAUUUUGUUUCAAGUUGGUCAUUGAAAAACUUUUUUUAAAGGUGGUUGCUCCAGCCAUAUCCGUUAGCUUGAUUAAUGCAAAAUUGUCAUGUCAGCUUUUCCUUUAAUCGGACUAUGGACGAAAUGACCAAAUUAUAGGAAAUGUGCUUGUAGGGUGACCAACUUGGAACGAAAUAACUAUUUGUUCAUGACUGCCUUGAACAUGUCUGGCGUUGCCCUUUUAAUGCUUUGUCUAUAAUAAAGCUUUUAGAAAGGCAGGUGUGAGAUCUCUUUUCCAUUUCGUGUCCAGUCCAACCUACCAAAUAUGCCCUCGAUAUAAGCGUUUGACAUGUUGAGUAGUUCGGCUACAUUUUCCUUUUACUUGUUUUUGCUUCUUACAUUGCUAUGUUUUAUUACUCAUUGCAUUUUCCGGUAUAAUUUGGUGAAUUUGAUGAAAAGGUGUAAAUAAACUAGACGAAACUAAGCGUCAUGUCUAUGUAGGUUAGGAUUGAUUGCAACUACCACGAUCGUGUUUGUUAGUGUGCAUUCUUCGUGUUAGCUAUACGAAUUUACUUGUAUCCCUGAUUGGUACUUAAUUUUUACGUAUGUUGCUUGGGAUGAACCUAAUGAAGAAAGGUUAUUCGAAAGUAGUGUAAGCAAGAUGAAAGUUAUAAGCCGGCAUCUUAAUUGCUAAGACUUGGCACCAAAAAGUUGUUAACGAUGACCCUUGAACAAGUUCCUUCACUUGAGUCGUAAUAAAAUCCGAAUAGAGGGGAAUUAUAACUAAUCAGAGAUAGUGUCUUCUUGUUUUACAUCAAGGCAACUCAUUGAAGAGACUUCAUCGUGUGCAAAAAUAGUGCUGAAUUAUCCAUAUUAGCUUUCUCCAAGUUUUGAACAACUCAAUUCAUCAAAGAUCAUAUUUAUAAGUGAAAUUACAUACAAAUAAUCCACAUCCCAUAUCAAGCAAUUUUGAAUGAACUUGCUGUGCUCUCCACAAAUUUCCUCGCACCUUUGAACCAUCUCUUGUCUCCAGCUUGAGCCUUGCAAAUGUAUAGCUUCCCAUCAGAGACUGUGGCUGAGAUCAGUUGGUGUUUGCCGCCCUCAUCUCCGUCAGCCGUCCUCGUCAGCACAGAUAAGAAAUAGUACUUUUUUCCACCAAUAACUUGGGUGUCUGUCUCCAAUAUGUUUGCAGUUGCCACAGCAUUGGCAUCAAAUCCACCCUAUAAUUAUAACUUCAAUCAGAUUCCAUAAGAACGGUUUAUAUGGAAAGGACAGAACUGAUAUCCUGCCUAGAAGAUAUCUUGCCCAACGAUGAGAUGACAAAAUAUUUAAACAUGUAUAUAUAGAAAAAGGAAUGUUUUCGAUGCAUUUGUGAUUUACCUCUGCAUCAGUUUUUCCGAAGUAGGCUUGCUUUCCUAGGAGAUAGUCCACCUGAAAUUAUUGACGUCAAAAUUUCAUCAACUCACAAUUAUCUGACAUAGAAAGUCAUAGAAUAUGAUAUUGAGACGCGUCAUUCAAAUAACCUAUAAAUGGGAAGUGUGUUGAAGUUAACAAACUCCAACAGCUUAAAUUUUUAGAUUGAAAAUUAUUACCUUGGUGAGGAACUCUUCAGGAGAACCAUAGUCAGUGAUAGAUUUCUUGUCAGUAGAGGUUACCAUAACAGAUACAUUGCUGGUGGCAUCAAAAUUGUCCUCAUACCUCAGAACCUGACCAGGGAACUCUCUUUCUUUGCUUGGAUUCCACUUUGAGGGAAUUGAUAACUUGAAUCCGUCUCCAUCAUAGGGCAAGAAAUCUGUGUUUUCCUUUGGCUUCCCAAAAAUGUUAGCUGCAAUUCAAUCAUUCAAAUACACAGAUUAAAUAUCGAGUGAGAGAAUAUAACGCUCCUGUGCACAAAUAGACAUUAAGGGAUUCGAGGUAUUACCAGCUUGGCCGUAGGCUGCAUCGGCAGGGGAAACCUUGGAGCCUAUAGCAGCAGCACCAAUUAGGAUGGUGAGAGCCAAUCUACGAGAGAUAGGAAAAGAAUUGUUGUCAUCAUCCUGUUUGUGGGCGCGGCAAACUAAGUGGCUAGGCUUGAACGACGGCGCAUAACGUUGAGAUGAUGAUCUGGUACUAGUAGAGAGUACAUUGGGGUUCAAGAAGCAUGCAGUUGAAGCCAUUACUGUUUUCUCUGCUCCUUUUCCACGAGAAAAUUAUACAGUCACCAUUUUGACUUCAAACCACUGGUAUUGCCACAGUUGUUACCUUCCCGGCCAGUCCUCCUUUACUACCAGUCCCCUGCCACUACUAGCCUCUACGUGAGGAAAUGCAUGCAUUAAAGGUUACACCCUUGUACGCUUGACAUUCAUGUAGAGGCAAGCAGAGUCAAAUGCCGAGCCUCUACCAGCAAAGGGGGACUGCCAUGCCAAUCCAAGCAGCAUUUCGUAUACAUAUAUCACUCGUGCAUAUGCCACAGUGACACAAAAUUCCAAAAAAUUGAAAAGUAUUGAUCAUAAGAAUAUAUGCUUAACAAUGUUUUCUAGUUAUUUCUCUUUACCCUGUUCUUCUUUGUUGGGGGACAAGGCGAGUAUGUUGAGGAUAGCUUAAGGGCCUUGAAAUAUUUAGUCCACAAAGGUAUAUUUUAAAAAACAAUGGAAACUUGUAUAAGCAAUUCAAUUUAAAAAUAUUUAAAAGGUCCGUGCCUGUUUACAUUUGUAGUGCCUGUUAUUGUUUUAUAGCAUUUACAUAGGAAAUAGGAGUUUCAUGUAUAAUAAGUAUUAUGAGUUGCUGAAUGUUAAUGGAUGAAAAGUCUACGGAUCAGUUGGUCAUAUUAUUUUGCCAUAUUCGUAUCCUUCAUUACAUCAAGGUACCAUAUAAAGAUUGAACUACAAUUGGAAUCUGUAUUCUGUCAAUUCAUUAUUGAAAGCCACACAUCGGAGUGGCAUAUCCUGUCCCAGUUCUUGAAAUAAUAAUUCUGCCUAUGGUUCAGCCGGUCCUAUUCAUAUUCACUUAAGUAAAUUAAGCUAUGACAAAAAUUGGCUUCCUACCAUGAUUUUCUAACCUGCAGUAAUUGUGAUUACAUAUAAAUGCCACUAAAAUCAUCUUAAUUGGGUGCUAUCUAGAAUGUUAAUUCUUUAGUUACAAGAACUGGUAGGUGAAUGGUCUCAUGGGAUGGUGUGCAGCAUGGAAGGGAUAGACUCCUAUGGAAUGCUUUAUUGAAAGGAAUAUAGCAACUAGGAUUGUAUAGACUACAUGUAAGUGCCUAUCUGUGUAUGAGAAAAAGAAAGAAAAACAAAGUAUAUUAUCAUAAUGAAAUUUUGUUAUUACACUGUACAUAGUUUACUAUAAUGGAAAAUGUAUUUGAUGAUUAACUUCCCUAUCUUUCCACAAAACGUCAACCUUUAGUAUUAUUUUUUAUGUGCACAGGGUAUUAAAAGAUUCUUCAUGUUAUUUUAACUUUCUUGAAACACCAUUUGUCUUUUUGCUUUGGGAACGCUGGUUGACAUCUUGAUCACAUGAUUGUAUCAACAAUUCUUAGGUCCGGCAAAAACUGUAUUGGUUUGGUAUAUCUUAUUAACUCCUCCAUCAUUCCUGUUUCGUAAGAUUUCAACGAAGGGACCCAUUCCUCCAUGAUUCCACUUGAUUCCUGUCCCCAUUUUCUGUCUUCCUGGUUCAAGGUGUCUAAAUGUUUUAAAUAGAACUCUUGUAUUUAUGGAUUCUAAGAGGAUCUUAUUGGUUUCAUUUGGUAAAAUUAAUGCAAAAUGUUCUUGGAAAGAUACUGAUGGUUUCACCUUCUGUAGGUUUAUAUAUGGCACCGAGUCUCAGGAGAGCUCGUUUUGACGUUGUCUGGACAUUCUGGGGCUGUCAACUGUGUUAGUUGGAAUCCUGCUAAUCCUCACAUGCUGGCUUCCGCAAGUGAUGACCGUACAAUUCGCAUAUGGGGCUUGAAUCGGGUAUGUUUAAAUCACGAUGAUAAGCACAGUAAUGGCACCUAUCACUGCAAUGGUGGAACUUGAAGUUGGGGACGAGAAACACUGUCUAUCAUUGUAUUUCUUAACAAAUUGGUUUAUGUAAAUUUUUUUACUUCAACAUUCAGUUGACAUAUAAUGAACAAGAAUUUGAACAUGCAUUCACCAGGAC